This 1324-nucleotide long non-coding RNA is filed under the name Drosophila guanche. Lineage: Eukaryota; Metazoa; Arthropoda; Insecta; Diptera; Drosophilidae. The record is from RNAcentral.
UGGAGAUGGGUCGGGCUCGUGUGUGCCAUGGUUGAACUCAUGGAGACAAUUGGUUUUGAGUAUUUGUAUCUCUGCUAGUGCGUCAGAUACUUUAUGACGAUGAGCUCACUGGAGUCGUGUUGUAAGCGGCUGAUCGGCUGAUCGGUGGGGGGAUAAUGCGUAGUUGGUAAACAACUAGUUAGGCAUAAGGUUCGGGUUUUUCUUGCUGCCAUGUGAGCUGAGCGUGCCGCGUGGAAAGAGGGUAAGUCCAGCUCUUGAGGGCUUCUUCUGGUUACUUCCGUGCGCCCUUGUGAAAUAUUUCUUCCUUAUCAUGCAGUCGAUAAGAAAUGUAGUCAUAGCAGACGCGUGCCAUAUUUAAAUAUAAACCAAGUUACUGCGACUUCGGAGUCAAUGGAAAAAACAGGGAGGACAAACUAGAGACUAGAAGAUACCCAUUAGUAUUCAUUCAGUAUUCAUUCUGGCUGCCAUAUCUGGUAGUUAUUAUUAUUGUUUAAUAAUUUAAUCAAUCUCUAUGAGUACCCAUAAUACUCUUCUGCUCUACGACUACAGGGUAUCAGUCGUAAAAGCGGUUUUGGGCAGCAGCCAGCCGCCUCUCCCUCUCUCUCUCUCUCUUUCCACUUUGCUCCAUGCGAAUAUCUGCUGUCUCAUGUUGGUCCAGUUUGUAUUUGCUUUUAAUUUCACAAUCAAAACAGAAAUAAUAAUAACAUAGUCCCCACCCCACAAUCACAGCCUUAUCUCUCUCACGCCACUCUCUCUCUCGCUCUCUUUGUGUAUAUCUCUCACUCACACUCUCCUUUUCUCUCUCUAUCUCUCUCUCUAGGUCUUGCAGUGAGAAUUUCAUCAGCUGGCAGAAGGAGCGGCGCAGCAAAAGCGAAACAAUAAGUGCCUGCCGUCUUGUUGUUGUUUAUUUGCACAGCGGUCGCCCCAAUAAAAAUGCAAUUUUUAUGGUUAGCAAAAUAGAGCGUGGCCACUGCAGCAGCACUGUACUGCACGUUGCAGAGAGAACGAACCAGCACCCACUACCGCUCCAGUGGCAUCAUCGUGCUCUGAUGUAAUACAGAGCAAAAGUGAAGCGGCAAUUGGCCAUUGCAACAAAGGAAAAGAGAUUAUACAACUUGUAUUAUUGCUGCUGGCUGGCAGGGGAACCGUUAACUAGGACAGAAAGCGCCACAAAAACGGAGGCAGCGGCAGCAAAAACGCUGCUAAAACGGAGGCAGCAUCGCUGUGAUAAAGACCGGCUGGCAACAGGCAAAGGCAAAGGAACUUGCAGCCAAGCAACAACAUUCAAAGUCGGAGCGUGGGAAUUGCAAAUCACAGUUAGCAG